CCUACGGGAGGCUGCAGUGGGGAAUAUUGGACAAUGGGGGCAACCCUGAUCCAGCCAUGCCGCGUGUGUGAAGAAGGCCCGCGGGUUGUAAAGCACUUUCAGUGAGGAAGAACGCCUGGUGGUUAAUACCCAUCAGGAAAGACAUCACUCACAGAAGAAGCACCGGCUAACUCCGUGCCAGCAGCCGCGGUAAUACGGAGGGUGCGAGCGUUAAUCGGAAUUACUGGGCGUAAAGCGCGCGUAGGUGGCUUGAUAAGCCGGGUGUGAAAGCCCCGGGCUCAACCUGGGAACGGCAUCCGGAACUGUCAAGCUAGAGUGCAGGAGAGGAAGGUAGAAUUCCCGGUGUAGCGGUGAAAUGCGUAGAGAUCGGGAGGAAUACCAGUGGCGAAGGCGGCCUUCUGGACUGACACUGACACUGAGGUGCGAAAGCGUGGGUAGCAAACAGGAUUAGAUACCCGAGUAGUC
RNAcentral lists this ribosomal RNA (465 nucleotides) under Vreelandella stevensii. RNAcentral describes it as "partial 16S ribosomal RNA". It matches the Rfam family "Bacterial small subunit ribosomal RNA", at positions 338 to 795 of the family's 1533-position model. The record is from RNAcentral. Lineage: Bacteria; Pseudomonadati; Pseudomonadota; Gammaproteobacteria; Oceanospirillales; Halomonadaceae.